AGCUGCUAACAGAUGUUCAUGAUAGGCAAAACAUUUGCAAUUAAUUGACCACAUGCAGUUUCUAGUCAUAUUAUCAACAUUUGUCCUUGUGUUCCGACAUUAGCAGGGCAUCAUGUAAGAGCUAGGGAGUAUGAAUGAAGGAGUAUGACUGUGAGCAGGAGAAGAAGGACACAUGUCUCUAGGAAAUCAGUUUCAUUAGUUCUGCUGCUCAUGGAAAAAAUGUAAAAAGUAGGAUUCACCAUAAGGUCCCAAACUGGUCUUUGAGUCUACUCUUAUGAAUCCUGGUUUGUUCCUAAUUGCAGAUUGUCUUAAUGAGUCAUCUCUCCUUAACUUCCUCUUCACCAGGGAAAAAAUAACAUUCAGCACAGAUUGGAUGUGUCAUAAAAUAGCUAAAUCCCAGCUGGGUGGUCCCAGCAUGGAGCAUUUACACAGUUCUUCAGAAACAGCUCUUCUUGCUUCGUGACUCAUUGUGAGUAUGAAGAGCACCUCCUUACUCCAGGCUGAGGACAAAGCAUACUGCCUGGUCACCAACUGUUAUGAAGAGGGACACGUGACUGUGUUGGUGACAACGGAGGUUGAAAAAAACAGUGGGCUUGAGCUCAAGGAGUGGUAGCUGGUAAAUUUGUUCUGGGAAAUUCUGCAGACACAAGAUUUUGGUGCAGAUGGUUCGGGAGGGAACUCCCAAAAUGUCUUGUUUUAUAAAGAGUUUUAGGAAAUCUUCCUCCUUUUUUUAAAAAAAAAAAAAUAUAUUUAUUUAUUUAUUUUUGUUAUUACAAAUUUGUGUGAGACUCAAAUACAUAUAAUGCACACUUGGAGGAAUUAGUUAUCACAGCAUUGUACCCUAACUUCAGCCUGUUGCUACACAUAAAAUGCUGAACAAUGUAAGAGGAAGUGAGGAAAAAGACCUGGUGCUGCUGGGUUUUGAAAUGCUAUAAAAACGUUACUGAGAAAAAG
This 954-nucleotide long non-coding RNA is filed under the name Anas platyrhynchos platyrhynchos (common mallard). Its description in RNAcentral is "lncRNA (ENSAPLG00000017211.1)". Lineage: Eukaryota; Metazoa; Chordata; Aves; Anseriformes; Anatidae. The record is from RNAcentral.